AGUGAACGCUGGCGGUAGGCCUAACACAUGCAAGUCGAACGGCAGCACAGAGGAGCUUGCUCCUUGGGUGGCGAGUGGCGGACGGGUGAGGAAUACAUCGGAAUCUACUCUGUCGUGGGGGAUAACGUAGGGAAACUUACGCUAAUACCGCAUACGACCUACGGGUGAAAGCAGGGGACCUUCGGGCCUUGCGCGAUUGAAUGAGCCGAUGUCGGAUUAGCUAGUUGGCGGGGUAAAGGCCCACCAAGGCGACGAUCCGUAGCUGGUCUGAGAGGAUGAUCAGCCACACUGGAACUGAGACACGGUCCAGACUCCUACGGGAGGCAGCAGUGGGGAAUAUUGGACAAUGGGCGCAAGCCUGAUCCAGCCAUACCGCGUGGGCGAAGAAGGCCUUCGGGUUGUGAAGCCCUUUUGUUGGGAAAGAAAUCCAGCUGGCUAAUACCCGGUUGGGAUGACGGUACCCAAAGAAUAAGCACCGGCUAACUUCGUGCCAGCCGCCGCAGUAA
Molecule: ribosomal RNA, 506 nt
Filed under: uncultured bacterium
Lineage: Bacteria
Description: partial 16S ribosomal RNA
Rfam family: Bacterial small subunit ribosomal RNA
Source: RNAcentral